This 254-nucleotide long non-coding RNA is filed under the name Lathyrus oleraceus (garden pea). RNAcentral's name for it is "Pisum sativum (pea) long non-coding RNA (PSAT_LNC034570)". Lineage: Eukaryota; Viridiplantae; Streptophyta; Magnoliopsida; Fabales; Fabaceae. The record is from RNAcentral.
AGAAGUAUGGAGGAUUUACCAGGAAGAAGGAAGGGGAGACUCAUGUUGUUUCUUCCUAUAGUAAAAGAAGGCCCUCUGUAAGGAGGAAGGAAGUGCGUCAAGUCGUCAACCAACACCAGGUGGCUCAUAUAGCAUCUGCUUUCAGAGAAGCUCAACAACCACAACAACAACCUCGUCAACAACAACAGGCUUACCAGCCUCGCAAUAACAACAACAUCACCGACAAUUAUGAGAGGAAGAGGGUGACUUUUGAC